UUAAUUAUAUAAACGGAAUAUAUAUACAUAUAUUUAAUACUUCAUUAAUAAUAUACAAAGGAAAACAAAUAUAAACAUGUGACCAAGAAACCGUGACUCGAUUUACUUUUCAAGCAAAAACACCAAAUGAUCAAUUUUUACAUAACAACAAAACUGAAGACAACAGUUCUCAUUAACAACAAUUCAACGAUCAUUUGGUUCAAAAUUACGGUAAAAGUAAAUUUAAUAAUAAACUCCAGUCCCUGUUUUUUUCUUCACUGAAACCCAUUCAAAAUCUUUCCCUCUUUCUUCUUCUUCUUCUUCUUCUUCUUCUGUUUUAUGGUAGAAGAUUUCCGCUUCUUCAUCAUUUUCACUGCAGCGGCUUCCAGUUGCUGAAGUCAUCAUUAUCUUCAACAAGUUUCUGACAUUGGCGCCAAGAUUCUCUGCUUAGAUUUUCUAACUUAACAUGUUCCAGCAACCUUCUUCUUUCUCCCCUCUUCCACGCGAAAGCAUACCAUUUAUUAUCAUCCCCAACUGCCUCGAGCUCGCUCUAGAAGGCAUCGUCAUCUUCACAUGUUUCUGACACUGCCAUCACCUCCAAGCUGAGAUUCCUUUUGUGUUCCCACGACAAGCUUUUAUCCUCCUCCUCUUGCUCUCCCCCCCUCUCUCUCUCUCUCUCAUCUUUCUCCUUUGGAGCGCCAAACAUCUAGCCAAUCAUUCUUCCUCUUAGCUGCCUCCAUCAAAACAUACAAAACCCAGAAGAAGAACCUAUACAAGAGAAAAAAUGAAAGAAGAAAAAAACGAAAUUAAAAUAACAUUCACCCCUCUGUUUCGUCGAGCUUGAGGAGGAAGAAGGAAAUGAGAAAAUUCUUCCCAGAACAACGGCGUUCCAGGGAGGUGGUUAAAGGGACCCCAAUUUUAUCUUUUAUCUUUUAUUUUUUUUCGCUUUAUCCCAUCUUUUCAUUUUUUUCUUCAUUCAUACCCCUGCCUUUUCUUUUCGUAGAUUU
RNAcentral lists this long non-coding RNA (986 nucleotides) under Carica papaya (papaya). Its description in RNAcentral is "long non-coding RNA (CPAP_LNC007149)". Lineage: Eukaryota; Viridiplantae; Streptophyta; Magnoliopsida; Brassicales; Caricaceae. The record is from RNAcentral.